This 390-nucleotide unclassified non-coding RNA is filed under the name soil metagenome. RNAcentral's name for it is "partial contains 5.8S ribosomal RNA, internal transcribed spacer 2, and large subunit ribosomal RNA". The stretch from base 4 to 118 matches the Rfam family "5.8S ribosomal RNA", at positions 40 to 154 of the family's 154-position model. The record is from RNAcentral.
GAUGGAACGCAGCGAAAUGCGAUAAGUAAUGUGAAUUGCAGAAUUCAGUGAAUCAUCGAAUCUUUGAACGCAUCUUGCGCUCCUUGGUAUUCCGAGGAGCAUGCCUGUUUGAGUGUCAUUUAACUUCUCAACCACAUUGGAUAUUUUUUUUCCGAUGCCGGCUUGGAUGUGGGGGUUGUUUGCAGGCUUUUUGUAACAAAAAAGGUCGGCUCCCCUGAAAUGUAUUAGUGGUAUCUGAGGCUAUUACUAUUAGGUGUGAUAAUUAUCUAUGCCUUUUGGGUAUGCCGCAUGAACAGAUUAUGCUGCUUCUAACGAAAACUAUUUUGAUGAAUUUGACCUCAAAUCAGGUAGGAAUACCCGCUGAACUUAAGCAUAUCAAUAAGCGGAGGA